UCUACCCUGUUGUUGUUGGUAACGAUUGGUUGUCCUUGAUUGGUCAUCUUUAUAUACCUAGUUUGGUAUCCCGAUGCCUUUCUCCUUCGGUUGAUUUAUCCUUUAUUAACCCAGUAACCAGUUGUGGAUAAUCUUCCAUGCGAGUAUAUUAUCUACGUUCUGACGGUAAUAGAUAAUAUAUCUCAUGCACUCUUCUGUCGAAACCUUU
RNAcentral lists this long non-coding RNA (208 nucleotides) under Lathyrus oleraceus (garden pea). RNAcentral describes it as "Pisum sativum (pea) long non-coding RNA (PSAT_LNC001862)". The record is from RNAcentral. Lineage: Eukaryota; Viridiplantae; Streptophyta; Magnoliopsida; Fabales; Fabaceae.